Long non-coding RNA from Canis lupus familiaris (dog), 1353 nucleotides. RefSeq lists it as uncharacterized. The record is from RefSeq and is a predicted model, not a curated record. The transcript is spliced from 2 exons. NCBI's taxonomy places the organism in Eukaryota, Metazoa, Chordata, Mammalia, Carnivora, Canidae.
CUUCCAACUAACCCCUGUCUCUAUUCCUUUCUUCAGAUUUCAUGAUCGAGAAUGUGUCAAGAAGGAAGGUGGAAAAAAAAAAAAUGGUCUCUCUCCACUCCCUUGUCUUUUUAAAUCCCUAGAAAGGAAAAGAGGCUUGCUCAUGACUUGGAAGUGGUAGGCUGAGGCCUCUCAGAACCAUCUGCCUCUUUCCAUUGCCAACCAGAGCCAAGAACCCAGGAGCCGAGGGAGCGCCUGAGUUGCACCUGCCCAUGGGAUCCAAAGACAGCACAACAAGAUUCUGCAGAGAUCACACUUUGCAUGUUUCUGGAUUUCUUGAAGCCUUCAGAACAAGCUCACACAAAACAAGGACUCUUCUGAAAACUCUGAGUACCAACGGAUAUGCAGAACUGCAGGGAAAUACAAAUGCAGAAAUGCUGAAAUACAGUGCCCAUCAGACUCUCUCCAUCACUCCUCUCUCCUCUCCCUGCAUCUGCUGUUUCCACAUCCUUUCUGCACAAUGCUUUCCUUGACUGGCUUUGGUCCACAUAAGGAAAAUACUUCCCAGAUUGAGUUCAAACUCAAACAUCUCUCAAGUUUGCAAAAAUACCUGGAGAGGGAAGGACCUGACUGAUCCAGCUCUGGAUCAGGUGCCCACCUCUAGACCAGUCAGCUGAGACCAGGAGUCUGAGGCCAUGUUGCAUAAAAUGGAACCAUGACAAGACUGUGGGGGUAGCAGUUCUCAGGAAGAGGGACAGCAGACCACAGUAAACAUGCAGGAGUUAUGUGAGAGGUAUACAACUAGGUUUCAUCCCUUAAGGAGAUUGUCAUAUAUGGAGAGCCAGGCAAAGAUAGAAAUACUAAGUUUUCAAUUCAGUUUAAAUUGAUUUUGAUGCCCCCAAACCAUAAGCUACCCAGGAAUAAAUCAAACCAAAGAGGUAAAGGAUCUGUACUCUAGAAGCUACAGAACACUUAACAAAGAAGUUGAGGAAGACACAGUGAGAUGGAAAAACAUUCCAUGCUGAUGGAUUGGAAGAACAAAUAUUGUGAAAAUGUCUAUGCUACUCAGAGCAAUUUACACAUUCGAUGCAAUCCCUAUCAAAAUACCAUGGUUUUUAUUUGCAAAGGUGGAAGAAAUAAUCCUAAGAUUUGUAUGCAACCAGAAAAGACCUUGAAUAGCCAAAGGAAUGUUGAAAAAGAAAACCAAGGCUGUGGGCAUCACAAUGCCUGACUUCAAGCUGUAUUACAAAGCUGUGAUCAUCAAGACAGUAUGGUACUGGCAUAAAUUGAUUUUGACGCUAAAGGGGAUAAUGGAGGAAAAAAAAAAAAACCCCAAAAGUGAACAAUGGUGGAAGAAAUCUCUGCUUUUUAGAA